Molecule: long non-coding RNA, 1492 nt
Organism: Felis catus (domestic cat)
Lineage: Eukaryota; Metazoa; Chordata; Mammalia; Carnivora; Felidae
Exons: 3
Source: RefSeq, a predicted model, not a curated record
UAGGCUUGACCCCACAAACCAUGAGAUCACGACCAGAGCUGAAAUCAAGAGUCAGACGCUUAACGGACUGAGCCACCUAGGCACUCCUGUUUGAUAAGUUUUUGAUUCACAUGUCUUUAGAAUUCUUUUUAUUGAUCAACUGCCAAAAUUAAGAGAGGUAUCAAAGUGAAGUAGAUUUAAGGAGUCCAAGACAAUCAAGCAGAGAGACACCAUCAACAACCAUUAUCCGGGUGGUUUCAGUACUUUUUGGUCUGCCAAAACCUUUCUAUUUUUUACAGUUUUUCCUUUUUUCCAUCUUUUCUGUGUUAGGCCUCUGCUUUUGCGGGUGACUCAGUUGGCCUCCAAGACUGUAGCUACUUGGUGACAGCCCCCCUGAAAUUCAGUUUUUUAUUAAUGGCCUUCCUGAUUCCUGAGCGAGCUGCUUCUGGAUAAAGCCAGACUCUCUUCAGAAUUAUUCACUCAACAGAUGUUUGCAACUCAGAGGAAACCAUUCCUUUGUUUUGGUUCAUUAUAAAGAUGAACAGGUUAAGCGCUUGAUUCCAAUGUAAGAAUUAUAUUGAAGUUAAGUUUUACUUUCUCCUGGCAUUCAGAGUUGCAGCAUAUAAGCAUACUUGGUCUGAAUGCUCAGAAAUCUUAAAAAUCUUGAUAUAAUUCUGUAACACAGCAUAUUAACAAUGUAGAAAACUACAUAAUACUAUUUAUGGCAGGAUUUUAAAAUACUUAUAUGUACAUUAUUUGUUAGACAUCAACAUUAUGUUUUCUAUCUAAAUAAUUUGGAAAUGUUAAACAUAGUCAACACAAGAACAAUAUCCAAUGAACUUAUUUACCUUGUGUUCACAGCUAGAUAUUUGGAAUAACUCUAGACAUAUCUACUUCAAGUGAACAAAAGCAAACAAGUAUAAAUCUGUAAUCUAGAGGUGCAUGGGUGACUCAGUCGGUUAAGCAUCCAACUCUUGAUCUCUGCUCUGGUCAUGAUCUCAGUUUGUGAGAGUUUUGCUCUCUCCAAAUAAUUUAGAAAUAUAUUACUAUAUAAUUUAAAAAUCAAUACAGAUAUCUGCUGUUGAAAUGUGAUUAUGGUUACUAUUUAAAUUACUAUUAAAAUUAUGAUUUUAAUUAAGACUAAUUAUAGUAGAAACACACAGGUACAUAUUAUAUUUCAUACUUUUGCUUGUUACUAGGAAGUUCAGAGUUAGACUUAAUGUUUAAUCAUGAGUCUUAGUGAUCUAUUUGCUUAGUCUGUGCCAUUGAUUCUAAAUAGCCAAGGAAAGACAACCUUCCCCUAGGAAGGUGUGUUAGAGUCUCUGUGUUCAUAAAUUUUUUCAUCAUAUUAUUGCAUGGGUUUAUAAAAAUGUUGAAAAAAAAUAUGUUUUAUUUUAUUAUCUGCAAAUUUAAUUUUUUAUUAAAUUAUUAUAUAUAGCUUUUAUUAAGUUAUCUAAAUUCUUUUCAGAAGAACAAUUUUUAUUAUAUAGUCUUUAUUCCAGUAAGUAUACAU